RNAcentral lists this ribosomal RNA (122 nucleotides) under Helianthus annuus (common sunflower). Lineage: Eukaryota; Viridiplantae; Streptophyta; Magnoliopsida; Asterales; Asteraceae. RNAcentral also lists the same sequence under 1 other name. The record is from RNAcentral.
GGUUGCGAUCAUACCAGCACUAAUGCACCGGAUCCCAUCAGAACUCCGCAGUUAAGCGUGCUUGGGCGAGAGUAGUACUAGGAUGGGUGACCCCCUGGGAAGUCCUCGUGUUGCAACCCCCG